CCCCCGAUAGCUCAGUUGGUAAGAGCGCUUGUGUGAAGAACAAGAGGGCGUCAGUUCGAUACUGACUUGGGGGA
RNAcentral lists this transfer RNA (74 nucleotides) under Microcoleus sp. CSU_2_2. RNAcentral describes it as "tRNA-Phe". The record is from RNAcentral. Lineage: Bacteria; Bacillati; Cyanobacteriota; Cyanophyceae; Oscillatoriales; Microcoleaceae. RNAcentral also lists the same sequence under 1 other name.